UGAGUCUGCUUUUUUUAGCUAAACAGUGGUUCACUUAUUAAUGGACCAUACGUUUUGCUUUCCAUCAGUUUCCUAGAUUAAAAAUCAUUAAAAUAUCUUUUUUUUUUAACACCAAUCAAUAAAACAUCUAACACACGUAAACUUAAUUUGUGUUUCAGAGCACAUCCAUCGGCAGCUCUAAAACGGGGUUCCAAACAAAAUUCAAAAAAAAAAUGAAAAAGAGAUAAAAACACAGAAUCGGUGUUUAAUGUGGUAUUUUUACAGCUGGUAAAAACCCUUUACGUGUCUCUUUGGUAUUGGAUAAUCUAUUUUAUGUUUCUCUCCUUCAUCGUCGACUUCUCAAAAUCAAUUUUUCUCUUCCUCCUCCAAUCUCAAUCGCUCCAUCUUCUCUUUCCCUUCUGAUCUCGAUCUUCUUCUUGGUAAUCUCCUCCAAUCUCAAUCACUCCCGAGAGUGUUUGAUUUCCUCGUCUGAAUCAUUUGAUUCUUUCGCUUUCCCCCACCUUCUUAGCCGUUCGUAGAUCUCUGCAGUUACGAUCGUUUCUCCUCUCGAACCGUCUUCUUCAACGUGAUUGACUCUUUCAUUCUGUAUCUGAAUUAGCAAUGAAGCCAGGAGGAUCAGGAUUGAAUCCGAACGCAGCAGCUUACGUACCACUCUACAAAAGAGAAGCUGAUUCUACAAAACCUGCUGCUGCUACUGCCACACAUGACGUUCAGCACCAACCCUAUGGUUAUGGAGUCCAAGGGAAGGGAAGUUUUCCAGGCUCUCACAUGAGGGAUGAUGAUUCGGAGAUGGAGAUGGAGUUCCUUUUGGCUUCAUUCUCUAAUUUGUCAGAUGAGUCUAUAUGUGAUGUUUACUUGGCCAACAAUGGUGAUCUUGAUGCAACUAUCGAAAUGCUCACUCAACAUGAGGUAAACCUAUUUCACUAGUUUCACACUUAAAUUACACCAGAGUAGAUUGUCCACAACGCUUUGUUUCAUUGUGGAAAGAGAGAGAGAGUACAUUUGUAUAGAUUUUCAAUUUCAAGUUUGGGUGUUAAGGAUUGAGAUUCUUUUUAUGUAUGCUUUUAUUUUAAAUCAUUCUACUUUAAAAAAAAUUAUUUAAGAACUCCUAUGAGGUUCUCCCAUUGGAGGAGGAAAAAAUUAUUUACACUAACAAAGUUUUUUAACUUCUCAAAUCACCAUAUUAACUACUAAUUUAAUCAUAAGAGCUCAUUAGAAGUUCUAAUGGAUGGGCUUGCUCUCAUAGAGCUGGCAGGUAAGAGACUGCUCCCAGUUGUGAUCUAACAAUACUAAAAGCAGGAUAUACUCAACUCUCAACCUGUCCACGUUAACUAAAAAAAUCAACAUAUCAUAAAUCAUUCUUCUGCCACGUCGUCGUCAAAACUGGUCUGAAGCGUAAUUUUAUUCUUCUCCGACUAUCCAACUUUGUCUUCAUCGAUCAAAUUCUGCAAUUCUCCGUUACCGUAACUCACGCUUCGACAAUUUAUCAUGUUUUUAAGUCUUCUUAAAUGGUUUCGUUCCAUCUCCUCCUAUUUCUCCUUCUAUAUAAAGUCCCAUCUGAUCUUCAAUCAACCCUAAUUGACAAACACCACUGAAGACACAUAACUCCUUCUUCACUCAGAUUCUUCAAAGCCUUUUAAAUUUUUGUAAUCACCCGAUGUCGACGACCUCUUCAGGUACCCCAUCCCAUCCCAUAGUAUAUAUCUUACUUCCCUCAUCACUUACACAGAACUCCUUAACAAAUCACACCGAAAAUUACCGCCAUGGUCCCGUCAGAUCCCAUAAUCAGAGGAAACAGUUUCCUCUGGCUCCAUCUGUGUUAUCGCCUACCUAUCUUCUCCAACAGUCACGUAAGAUUUAAUACCAUCUCUGAAAAGUUGCAUUGCAUCUCUUAACACUUUUCUGCUUUGACUUCUUUAUGAAUCUAUUUUGUUUGUUUGGUGUUGUUACAAAAUGAGUGCUCCGAGGUACCAGAUGUUUCCAUUAGAUAUGGAUCCUAAUUUGAGAAAAUUUAAUCUGUGGCCGCCGUGAAGCCUACGAUCACCAGAAGCUGAAGAAGCUACAUGCAAGUCCAGGAGUACGAAAAAGAUGGGUAUUCAGAGAUGCAGAGGAAGAAUGAUGUCGAGUGUGAGGAAGAGGAGCGGACGUUGAAAGAAGAAUAAAAAGCUUGACAAGCCUAGCUAAAAGAAGAGACAUAUGCCUUAAGAGUUUGAAACAUGGAAAGGGCAGUUCUCAGUUGACAUUGAAGGAAGUGCAAGGUGGAAAUAAUGAAGAUUGCUUUCAGAAUUCGUUGAAAACAUAAAGGUGUAUCUUCGAUAACCAAAUACUUUCCCAUCUCCCAUUAUAAUCGAGUAAUCGUCAUUCUGCCAACAGAAACAACUUCAAAGUGAAGUAUAGAUACAAGUAUUAUGGAUAUCAACGACGGUUUGCAGCGGGUCUGUGUCUUAGUACAUUUCCAACCUGAAGAUUUCAGCUUAGGAUGGAGUUAGGGGAAGAGAUCGGGAGGGGUCAUUUUGAUUAUGGUUGCUCUCCUAAGCUCAAAAAAGAGAGGUUGUUGUUAGAUGCAUCCCAAAAUCUAAGGUCAACUUUACAACUAAUACUUUAUGAUGUUCUCCCAAGUUUUAAUCUUAAGGUUUAUGCUUCAAUUGGCUUUAGGUUUGCAUGCUCUUUGGUGAUUGGUAUAUAUUACUAUAAACCACGUGGAUAAAGAAAAUGUUCUUCUGCCGACAUGAAACUCGACAAAGCUCUUGACUGAAGUUGUGAAAUACAAAGAUUGAACUGUCUCAUAAUUUUUAAUUUCCUUCGUUGAAUACAAAAAGGUGUAUCUUCGAUAACCAAAUA
Brassica napus (rape) is the source of this 2841-nucleotide RNA transcript. It is a transcript of the gene named polyadenylate-binding protein-interacting protein 6, with no coding region annotated. The record is from RefSeq and is a predicted model, not a curated record. The transcript is spliced from 5 exons. NCBI's taxonomy places the organism in Eukaryota, Viridiplantae, Streptophyta, Magnoliopsida, Brassicales, Brassicaceae.